Molecule: unclassified non-coding RNA, 357 nt
Filed under: Lycoperdon sp.
Lineage: Eukaryota; Fungi; Basidiomycota; Agaricomycetes; Agaricales; Lycoperdaceae
Description: partial internal transcribed spacer region
Rfam family: Eukaryotic small subunit ribosomal RNA (bases 1-46)
Source: RNAcentral
AAGUCGUAACAAGGUUUCCGUAGGUGAACCUGCGGAAGGAUCAUUAUUGAAUAUUCUUGAUGGGUUGUAGCUGGCUCUCCGGAGCAUGUGCACACUUGUCUUGACUUUAUUCGUCCACCUGUGCACCUUUUGUAGUCUUGGGGGUUGAGAGCGGUCGACUAUCGGAUGGCUAUGGCCUUUCCGGACGUGAGGAUUGCUGAGUGCGAAAGCAUACAGCUCUUCUCAAAUGACUUGCAAAACCUCUCCCUCGAGUACUAUGUAUUCAUAUACCACAUAGUAUGUUGUAGAAUGUGAUCAAUGGGCCUAUGUGCCUAUAAUAAUGAAAUACAACUUUCAGCAACGGAUCUCUUGGCUCUC